GGGGCUAUAGCUCAGCUGGAAGAGCGCUUGAAUGGCAUUCAAGAGGUCAGGGGUUCGAGCCCCCUUAGCUCCA
Molecule: transfer RNA, 73 nt
Filed under: Acidobacteriota bacterium
Lineage: Bacteria; Pseudomonadati; Acidobacteriota
Description: Acidobacteria bacterium (activated sludge metagenome) tRNA-Ala
Rfam family: tRNA
About the family: Transfer RNA (tRNA) molecules are approximately 80 nucleotides in length. Their secondary structure includes four short double-helical elements and three loops (D, anti-codon, and T loops).
Source: RNAcentral